RNAcentral lists this ribosomal RNA (253 nucleotides) under uncultured bacterium. RNAcentral's name for it is "partial 16S ribosomal RNA". It matches the Rfam family "Bacterial small subunit ribosomal RNA", at positions 524 to 776 of the family's 1533-position model. The record is from RNAcentral.
UACGGAGGGAGCUAGCGUUGUUCGGAAUUACUGGGCGUAAAGCGCGCGUAGGCGGUUACUUAAGUCGGAUGUGAAAGCCCUCGGCUUAACUGAGGAAGUGCACCCGAAACUGAGUAGCUAGAGUACGAAAGAGGGUCGCGGAAUUCCCGGUGUAGAGGUGAAAUUCGUAGAUAUCGGGAGGAACACCGGUGGCGAAGGCGGCGACCUGGGUCGAGACUGACGCUGAGGCGCGAAAGCGUGGGGAGCAAACAGG